Pelobates cultripes (western spadefoot toad) is the source of this 67-nucleotide non-coding RNA. The record is from the annotation of a GenBank genome assembly. NCBI's taxonomy places the organism in Eukaryota, Metazoa, Chordata, Amphibia, Anura, Pelobatidae.
GUGAACCACUCAUGCUGAUGAGUUGCAUUAACAACGAAACAGCUGUCCAUGAGUGGUUUACUGGCAC